Pantherophis guttatus is the source of this 3816-nucleotide long non-coding RNA. RefSeq lists it as uncharacterized. The record is from RefSeq and is a predicted model, not a curated record. NCBI's taxonomy places the organism in Eukaryota, Metazoa, Chordata, Lepidosauria, Squamata, Colubridae.
AAGUCGUGAAGGGGCCUUAGUUCCCCAAACCUCUGAAGGGAAAGGGAAUGAGAGAAUUGCCUUGUUUUCAUUGGCUGAAGCGCGGGAAUGACGGAAAGGCCUGGCUUGAGGAGCUUCUGAUAGCAUUUUUUAAGCGGGCGAUUCCGAAUUAAACAUCCUGUGAGAAAGGGCGCCUCGACGAUGAGCUCACAUUAAAAUUACUGUCCAUCAAGACUGUGAAAAGUAGAGAGCUUCCAUUUGACGUCACAGCGAGAUGAUGUGGAUUAGUAGGGUUCCACAAAAUCCAGCCGAUUUCUAUCCGCCAGGAGGUCUUUCGGGGCCAAAGUCACUCUGGAGGGGUGAUGAAGAGAGGAAGGAUCUUUUGUCGAUGGUGAUGGGACAGCAGUUCCCUCACUCAAUUUGAAGGAACGUUCCUGACCAGCGGAAGAGAGGACGGCCAUUAUGGCCAGACUAAGGCUGUGACAACCAGGACAAAGAAGCAGGAAGUAAUGAUUUUACAACAGUGUGUCUGAUCUGGUGAGAUUUUUUUCCUAAUUUCUGCCAUGGAAUUAAAUCCCCAAGAAAGCACUUUUGAAAAGUGGGACUCUACAGAGUAGGAGGAAGGGAAUACUCUCCCGCCUCUGAAAGAAUAGCGGCGAGUGAGAUUUGGAACCGAUGACAGAUCCAAACAAAAGAGAAUCAUAAUGAGAAGGUAAAUCUAAAAGUAAAGGGAAAAACAUUAUAAUCUGUUUAAGAUUUUUUCUUUUUUUUCCCUGUUUCUUGUAAUUUUGAGCAACGAAUUUUAAAGGACUAAACUUUUGGAUUUUUUUAAAGUUUGCUGUAAAAAUGAAGAGAAAGUGCCAGGGUGACACCUACUGGCUGGAAAAGACAUUACACUAGUGGAAAGAAUAGCAAAAUAUUUUGACUAUUACAGAUAAGAGAACAGAGACAAUAGAGAAUAGAGAUAAAACAGCAGCUACUCUAAAUGUUUUUGCUUGGUGUCUGGAGAAAGAUAGUGAAUACAUUGAAACCCUUUGAAGCCUUGUGAAUUAUAAAUACUCUUGAUGGCCUAAACAGUGGAAUAGCUUGGUUUUCCUUUAAAACCAAGUGAAGUGGCUUUUUGAUUUAUUAGAUAUUUUGGGCUAUUGGAUUAUUGAAUUAUGGGGGACUUGGUGGGCCCUUUGGAUUAUAAAUAUCAACUGACAGAAGAUAAAGAAAUAACCGUAGUCACAAAAUGGACUGAUUUUGUGCACUGACCCUAAGGAUUACAAAUACAGAUAACUCUGAGAAAUGGUUGGUGAUUGAGAGAAAUAAACUUUUGAUUGGUUUCCUAGCCUCCUGUGUACGUGGGACACUGUGGUGAUUGUGGGCUGUUUUGGACCAUUGUGUUCUUUUUUUUUGUUUCCCUUCUUUCUCUUUCCUCUUUUAAUAACUCAACUGGAUUGUCUCUCUUAAUAUUAGAUGCUGAAAUGACAAGUAUUCAAAAUUUAACUAGAUAGGGGGAAAAGCAUAAUCUACACCAUCAUUAGCUUCCUCUAAUCCAGGAAUAUCAAACUGACGGCCUGCCGGCCAGAUGCGUCACACAUAGACCACACCCAUCCCAGCUCCGCAAAGGGAAAAAACAUUGUGAAACGUCACAUGAUGGCAGCAUGACACCGCAAGUUUGACACCUGUGCUCUAAUCCAUCAAGUCAAAGAUCAAUAGACACUAUGCUACAACAAGAGAAAAUGAAUACUUCUCAAAUACAAAUGAUGCUUUAGUCUACACAGGAAACUAUGACAAAAAAUCACAAUGAGAUGAAAAAUGAGAUGGGAGAGAUGAAAAGUGGUAUGGGAAAGAUGAAGAAAAAAAUACACAAUUUGAAUGAAAGAAUAUUCAGCAAAUGAUAACAAAAAAUGAACAAAGGAUUCAGAAAACAGGAGAAAUCAGAACAAGCAGAAAAAAAGGUGGAUGAAAUAAAUCCAAGACUGACAGAGGUGAAUAAGGAGCUGGAAGACUGAUAGUAUUCCAAAUGGAGAAGGCGGCUUAUUAUUUACGAUUACAGAAUAUUGAAGAAGAAAAAGGAGAAGACCUUCUAGACAUGAUGAUAGAGUUGUUGGCAGAGGCUCUAAAGUUAAAUAAGCAGGAGAUGGAUAACAAAAUAGAUGAAAUAUUUAAAAUACAUGCGAGCUGUGCAAAAAGGCACAGACUCCCAAGAGAAGUGCAUAUGAGAUUUGUCAAAAAAUCAACAAGGGAUGAAAUACUUAGCAAGGCAAGAGAUGAACCACUGCAAGACUGUGAAAAGUAACUUUGCAAACAGCAAAACUAACUUUCUCAGUUAAAAGCUAAGGACUAUUUUGAAAUGCAAAAUUGCACGUUUAGUAAAUAAAUAAAGAAUGCAAGAUAAUGCAAAUCUUACAUAUCUUUUACAAAAUUAUUAUACAAUGUGUAAGGUUCAGUACUGAAAAUGUUGGCACAAGUAAGUGUAGUGCAUUGAAAUUUGACUUACGAGCCCAAUCUAAUAGGAUUACUUGACCAAUAACUUUUUGAAUAGCAAGCUAACACUUACCAGUUUUGGUGCCUCUUUUGCAGAGCUUGCAGAAGUAAGGCCUGGUAUUAGGCAAAAAGGCUUAAAGUUCAGAUUUGAGACCGGAAAGAAUCACACACUGCAUAGCAAGCAAACAGGUUUUAUUUGCUCCCCAAAGAAAGAUAUAAAGGUACACAUGAGAGAUCUUACAUUCCUUUUAUCUGUUGAGAGCCCCAGUUCCAGCAAUUAAACACCACCUAUGUACUCUAAUUCUGGGGUUAGCUAUAGCAGAAUGGUUCCUUCAGGUGGAAACAUAGCACAUUUGACCAAGUCUGCCUAUGGUAAUGCUUUGCCUUCCCAUAUUCAUUUCUGACAAGGCUUAUCAUAGCUCAAAUAGCCAAAGCAGCCCUAAUAAACCUUAAUAAAUUCUGAUGUGAGAAAAAUUACAACUACUUAAAAUUAGCACAUUUAAAUUAAAAGAAAUACCUGGUAUCUGUGACUCACAGACAUGCUGUCAGCAUUAUGUAGCAAAGUGGGUUACAUGCUAAUUAGCCUGUUCAAGGACUUUGAUGUUGGCCAAACUAUGAGCUCUUGUCCUCCUAGAGAUUACAAUGGUCUUCUGAUGAACAUUCUGUACACCUGUGGUGCCUGAAUAAUAGUAUGUCAUAAAAGUUCUAUGGGAAUAAAUGAAAUACAAUUAAGACAUAUAAGGAUUAUGGCUAUAAAGUUAAUUUAAGAAUUGCUUCAGUUCAAAUUCACUUCACUAAUUGGAAACAGUACAAAAUCUAAUUUAAUACACUCAUCAUAAAUCUUUCAGAAACUAAUUCUGUUCUUCACCAAAACAUGAAUGGCUUAAUUUCAUUGGUCCUUUUCCACUGGAGGAAAGAGAACUCUCCAGUGUCUGUAAUCAUAAUGGGGAGAAAACCCUACAACCUAAAUAUAUCAUUCUCUAAACAUUGUUUACUUCACAAAACAUUGUACUUUGUUUAGUAGAAGUCAACUCCAGGAAUGAUUGCAUUGUAUAAUACAGUAUACAAUUGGUAAAUUACCCAUAGUCAUUUCCUAUAUUUGAACUAAUAUAAUUUGGCAACUGUCAUAUUUUUAUUUAUAUUCCUCAUAUGGCGUCUAUGGCCUUUGUUACACAUAUGAUUUUUGCAUAUUACAUAUAUGAUACUUAUAUUUCUGUGACCCCAGAAAAUCACUGAUUUAUGACACUGUAAUUUGCAGCUCUGAACUGAUGAAAUGAAUUGUUGCUCCAAGGAAAAGGCCAUGAAAGUAGGAUUGCAGGGUUUUGUCUAGAGCUGCAAGGAAGAAAACAAUAUUGUUAUGAA